This is a long non-coding RNA of Oncorhynchus tshawytscha (Chinook salmon), 1129 nucleotides long. The record is from Ensembl. Lineage: Eukaryota; Metazoa; Chordata; Actinopteri; Salmoniformes; Salmonidae.
UGGGAACUUCCCUGGUUACAGUGGAGUGGGGAACUUCCCUGGUUACAGUGGAGUGGAGAACUUCCCUGGUUACAGUGGAGUGGGGAACUUCCCUGGUUACAGUGGAGUGGGGAACUUCCCUGGUCACAGUGGAGAACUUCCCUGGUUACAGAGGAGUGGGGAACUUCCCUGGUUACAGUGGAGUGGGGAACUUCCUGGUUACAGUGGAGUGGGGAACUUCCCUGGUUACAGUGGAGUGGGGAACUUCCCUGGUCACAGUGGGGAACUUCCCUGGUUACAGUGGAGUGGGGAACUUCCCUGGUCACAGUGGAGUUCCCUUGUCUAUGUUAUAUAACAAAUGUCGCGCAACGAUAAAUGAACUGUUUUACAUGCUGAUUCAAAUUUAGGCAAAACCAUUGGGCCGAAAUCUUCUCCUCCUCCAUAUCCCCCCUUUGACGAAUGGCUCCCUCCAUGAGCCAAUCGGCAAAUAGUAGAGAUCAUGGUUGAUGGUAAACAGGGCAUGCCAGACAGAAGAUGUAGCCCUAAGACAGACCUAUUAUUGCUCUCCAAACCCCACACCAUGCUGAGUCUGAGUAGACAGUAAGGGCCUUCCCUUCCCCCAAUUCACAAGCUGUAUUCAGAGCUAAUCAAUCUGCCUGUUGCGCUGAUAAGCAUUUUCAGCUCUGGGUGAGUGGUACUGUGGCUGAUAAGCAUUUUCAGCUCUGGGUGAGUGGUACUGUGGCUGAGGAACAUGUCCAGCUCCAGGUGAGUGGUACGGUGGUUGAGGAGCAUGUCCAGCUCCAGGUGAGUGGUACGGUGGCUGAGGAGCAUGUCCAGCUCCAGGUGAGUGGUACUGUGGCUGAGGAGCAUGUCCAGCUCCAGGUGAGUGGUACGGUGGCUGAGGAGCAUGUCCAGCUCCAGGUGAGUGGUACGGUGGCUGAGGAACAUGUCCAGCUCCAGGUGAGUGGUACGGUGGCUGAGGAGCAUGUCCAGCUCCAGGUGAGUGGUACUGUGGCUGAGGAGCAUAUUAUUACCAUGGCGGGUAGUACACACCAAUAUGUGCAUUAGCAAAGCUUCCUCUUCCUCUGCCCCUAUUGAAACCUCUUCCUCUUUCAUUCACUGUGAACUCACGUGCCCCAACUGCCCACAG